This is a long non-coding RNA of Anastrepha ludens (Mexican fruit fly), 4083 nucleotides long. RefSeq lists it as uncharacterized. The transcript is spliced from 3 exons. Lineage: Eukaryota; Metazoa; Arthropoda; Insecta; Diptera; Tephritidae. The record is from RefSeq and is a predicted model, not a curated record.
GUAUGAUUUGCUCUUUCUCGCUAUUGAACUUAGCAUAUUUGCUUUUUAUGAUAAAGUGCCUGUAGCUAGAGUACAGCAUUGACAUUAUUUCUCCUUACAUACAAACCAAUUUUACUCAACUGCUGUUUAAUUUAAGCGUUUGAAUAUUUCCACUGAAAUAAUCCUAAUUAGUGACCAGCACCGUUUUACUACCACUGUCCUCGUGUGAUGAUGUGUUUUGUUGUUGUAAGUCAGAUCCAUUUAGUGAGGUCCAAGUAUAGCAGAAGAUUCUUUAUCUAGAUGUCUGAGAUCUCAUGAAUUUGCUGGAAGAAAGGCUUGCCGAAGGAGCGGAGUCGUGCCCUAGCUAGCCCUGGACAUUCACAUACAUAAGUAGUGGAAAAGACUUUCCUUCACCCCUUCCGCUUGACAACUUCUGCAUAUGAGUUUGAAGGGUAGGUUGAGCCUAGCUGCAUGAUCCUCUACUUUCCAAUGGCCUGUAAGGGUUGCAGUGAUGCGUGAAAUGUUUGGCCGAUAACAUCCUAACAGAUCAUUUGUCCUUUGGAUUUUGUACCACGGCCAUGUGUUUUUUGUUGUAAUACAUGCAGUUAAUUGCUUUCAUCUUCCAUCGGCUAAAGCAUGAUAGUGUGAAGCAAUGGAUGCAUUUAAUGUGUUGAGUGGGGUGGAGGCUGCCACCGCCUCUACUAUGUCUAGUGUCGAACCUUUUCUUGCUAGCUCAUCCGCUAUCUCAUGACCCCGUAUGAUCCUAUGACCGAGAACCCAUAUAAGAGUAAUUUCAAGCCAAUGACUAAGUAAUUCUAGUUCCUCUCUACACUGAAAGACUAGCUUGGAUGAAAUAGAGUUGGAGUCUAAGGCCUUGAUAGCUGCUUGACUGUCUGAUGGCUAUCCUUGCGAAGCUUCGAAAGCUCUUACUUUCUCAUCUAAGUCUUUACUUGACGUUAUGGUUACUGGACGUUACAUGUUGAAGUUUAGACUGGGUUACUCUACAGAAUGUAUGACAGUUUGUUCUUCUAGGGUUUCUAUAUGGGAUCGGUUUCUUCAAGUUUCAGAUUGAUAUCGAAGAGAAUCUAACUAUGAUCCGAAAAGAAGUUCUUGUCGGAUACCCUUCAAUUUGUGACUAUUUUGGGAGUUAUUGUUUGUGCAUAAAGUAACGUUUAAGACCUUUUCCGAGCCUGGAAAAUUUUCCGAGCUCGGAAAAUUAAAGGUUGGGGUGGUCGUUACAUUGCAUAUGUCGAGGUUGGUAUUUAAUAAGAAUUCAAAAAGUGACUCACCUCUUUCAUUCGUCUCCGAACUGCUCGUUUAUAGCGUUUGCAUCAGCGCAGUUUGUCCGUGUUGUUUAGUGUUGACAGGAACAGAUCCACUUUAUCUGGCGGCGCCGGUUUAUCAUGUGGCAUGUAAACUGAUGCCAGGUAUUUUCCCGAUUUCUGCAACUCCACCUUCACCACAGUAAGAUCAGGAGUACUAAAGUAGAAUAUGUUGAUGUUGUAGUUGUCUUGGAACCCUUUAAUCUGAUUGUCCCUUACCCGGGGUUCCUGUAUGAAUCCGAGGUCGAUGUCCCCCUCCCUGAGGAAAACAUCCAAGUUCACUGUGGUACAUUUCGAGUACUGCAGAUUCACCUGUAUGGCUUUAGGCAUCGGGUUGGUUGUCGUCUUCAGCUAGGUAGAGCUUUUCUAGCUGUAUGCUGCUGACGACCUAAUCUGGGUCUUCCUCAUUUUCAGUGCUGUCUGCUUUGAAAAUGUUUAGUUUGGCUUUUCUCAGACCAAACCGCAUUUUAUUGUCAGAUUUUCUGAGUACUGGCAGGCACUCAUUUUUAAUCUGUAGAACGAAUGACAUGCUGCUCUUUUGCGGCGUUUUUGCCUUCACGAUUGCCCAGACGUCCAUCGGCACCGCAGGGUGGUGUGACUUAAGGUACUUUAGCACAUCUGUUUCGCUUAAGUCCAUCACUGGUAGCCAAAUGCGAGCGUGAGGAGGGCAAGGUAUGUCCCUGGCCGGAAAGAACCUUAAGCCUUCCACUGAGCUGCUGAUCUCAGCAGCUCACUUCUCUAGGACAACCCUUGACCAGUCGUCGUCGCACUUGAUUACCCUACAGUCUCUAAGUACUCCUGCAGAAUCGAAGGAAGGGAAAGCUCCGCCCUGUGCUCCAACUAGCCCUGUGCUUGUCUAGCACGAGCUUGGACAGUUUGGCCUCCACCUGCCCCCUUCUUCUGCAGGAGUACUUUGCCGCUGUUAUUGGUUUCCUCAAUCAGUGCAUAGACGAGGUUAUCCUUAACCACCUCACGGAAUGGGUUUUGUUUUGUCGUUUCUUCGAUGCUUUUGGACACCUUAGUUCUCUUUAGUGCCUCAUCGAUCACGUCCUGUGACCUGUUUCUCUUCGUCGCAUCCCCCUUUUUGUUGUUGUCUGUUUUAAGUUUCUUGGAUAGGAAGCAUUUAUACUCCUUGACCACCUGUUGGUAUUUUACUUUAUCGGCCGCGUCACGCUCGUCAGUCGCUCCAGCGAGUUCAUUCUUUCUGAGAAUGAACCUCGCCUUCGUUUAGCGAGACUUCAUAAUGGCACCCUCCGAUUUAGGUUUUUUUGCGGCCUGACUCUCUUUCUGAGUGCUGUCUACCGCCUUUUACGAUGUUGUUGGUAGGUCUGUUUGUUGUUGUUGCUUGCUUGGUAAGGGAGUGCUGUGGCUGGCCCUUCCCUUACUCUUUACUGACUCCGUCGUAUCUUUUAUAUUAGUUGUCAUCAUCUGUUUCUUACGGUUGCUUCACCUGACUGCGUCAAGCUCCAAAAACUACGAGUUUCAAGGGGAAGUAAUGGGGUCCCCCGCGCCAGCGCCCCUUACCGCGGUAAGGUAACAGUUACUCUCGAAGGCGGCCAGAUAUUCGAGACGAAAGCUCCGUUCGCGAUGCACAUGUUUCAAUUCUCUGCACCAUUCAGCCCUCGGCACGAUUCCAAGAACACCUCGACUUGGGAAUGUGUUGGUACGGUACUCUCCGUAUAGAUGAUUGGACAAACAGCACACGCCCCGUUUCGCGAAUGGGUUGUUCGCCAAUCCCUAUAGGGAGCUUCCCUCUUAGUUCAUGGUGGGUUAAACUCCUAAAUAGAAUUUAACCUCCAUUUAAGCCUCGUCCCCGCGGCAAGGAGACCAACGUGAAAGGGAGUAUAUAUGAGUAUAUUUUUGUUAACUUUUGGUGGAAAAUAUGUCUGUGGUGAACCACGCGCGCAAAACAAGUACACCUCAAGAUUCCAUGCGUUCCCGCCAUUCAGACCUCUCUAUAUGUAACGUUCUCUGAUAUUUCGCUAUCCCUAAUCCAUACAUAUAUAUGUACGUACAUAUAAGUCAGCAUACAUAUGUAUACAUAUGCCACAUAAAAAUUAUCACUAUUUGCCAAAUUCCCAAGGAAAUUCCCAAAUUCUAUAUAGGAAAGUAAGUAUUAUAUAUGUAUGUACGAACAUAUUAAUAACAUAAUUUAACGUAACGUUUGUACUAUUUGUACAGACUUUGGUAAAAUAAUUAUCAUAAAAAUAAAAUUAAAAUAAAUCGUGAAUGCAAUCAUGGAGUAAUUCAAUGAAGCAAUAAAACAUUGUAGCCACAAGCCAUGAUUCAAUUAUUAAAGGUUUGCUCAGUAAACAGCUUUCUCGUUCUCUCUUGACGAAUCGGCUCCCUUAGCAAGAAACUGUGUUACUAACUCUAAAAAUUGUAAGUAAAAGUGGAGCAAAAGUAAAAUUAGUAGAACAAACAUAAUCGUUGGCAUCAUUGCUAUUUGAUUUCUUCGUAUUCGCUGAUAUUUGAAUUUCUGAAUUCGUGAAUUUGAGUUAUUUCCGUCCUGAUUUGAGCCUUUUCUGCCAGAGUGCAGCACAACCAUUUUGCAAGUGCGUCAUACAGACACAAACUCGUUACCAACUGCCCAUCAACAACGCCACUCCUGUUUUAAAGCCCAUAUCCUAAUUGUACAUUUUGUGCUCCUUUUUUUGUCGCAUGUUGUCUGUUUUCUUUAGUUAUAUAAUAUAGUUUUAUUUUAUAUAUUUAAUAUUUAUAUAAUGAUAAAAUACAUGCCAACAAAUAAAACAACCGGGGCAUAUUAUUUGUCUCUGCUGGA